This 970-nucleotide long non-coding RNA is filed under the name Fukomys damarensis (Damara mole-rat). RNAcentral's name for it is "lncRNA (ENSFDAG00000031367.1)". The record is from RNAcentral. Lineage: Eukaryota; Metazoa; Chordata; Mammalia; Rodentia; Bathyergidae.
CAUCUCACUCCUCUGCUUCUUCUUUUCUCUAAAAGGGAAAGACCUUUUAACCAACUGUAUUGAGAUAUACUUUAUUAUCAUAAAAUUAACUCAUUUCAAGUGUGCAAUCAGCAAUUUUCAGUAAUCUCAUUGAGUUGUGCUGCCUUUGCUUUCAUUCCAGUUUUGGACCUUCUCUUGCCCAUAAGGUCCUUUGGGCCUGAUGACCAUUAAUCUUUACCCCACCCCAGCUGAUCUACUUCUGUCUCUAGGAAAUUUCCCUUUCUGGGCCUGUCAUGGAGAAGAAGUCACACAAGAUCAAGUCAGUUUUGAACACAUAAAGGUCCUGGGGCAGGAGUGAGCCGGGCAGACCAGAGUCUGGUAAGCAAGGAGGGGUUGUGCACGGGAGAGCUGGGCAGUGGCCCGCUGAGCUGCUGGGGUUCAGAAUGCGACAGGAGACACUGAGGUGUGCUCUGCUCUGCUUCCUGGUUUUCAGUGAUGCCCUGGCCGCUGUGUGGAGAACAGAUGUCGUGGAGUUCAGGUGGGUUCUGACCAAGGAGGCCAGCGCCUGCUUUAGCUCCCAGCCCCAUGGAAGGGCACCGAAAUCCACGUUGGAGACAAGGACCACUCUCCUGAAGGCGGUUCUGGCCUCAGAAGGAGCGGCCAAGGUCAUCUUCGACACCCAGGACGCCAUUGUCCCCAUGGCUCCCAUUUUCUUCGCUGAGUCACCACCAGAGAAUGUUUUCUGCACAGUGUUUUGCUCCUUCUCCUUCUAAGCAGUUUCUCCUUCCUUCGGCUGUUGUCUUCCCGCCCACUCUGUUGGUUUGCUUGGGACGCCAUGAAAAAUAUCACAUGAAGAGUGACUUAGACAACAGAAGUUGAUUUUCUCAUCAUGCUGGAAGUUGGAAGUCCAAGAUCAAGGUAUUAGCAAGGUUGGUUUCUCCAGAGGCCUCUUUGUGUGGCUGCUUUUCAAUGUGUGCACAUGGCACCUUUC